CGGGGGCCAAGGAAGGAAGAAAUGUGGGCGCGGGCGUUGUGGCUGGGCCUUCGGGCCCCGCUGGGCAGGCCCCGGGGCUUCACCUCCAAGACAGAUCCUCAGGGCAGUGGCCGAAUCACGGCCGAGAUGAUCGAGCACCUGGAGCGUCUAGCACUUGUGGACUUUGGCAGCCGGGAGGCAGUAGCGCGGCUGGAGAAAGCCAUCGCCUUCACCGACUGGCUAGGCGCCGUGGACACCGACGGGGUGGAGCCCAUGGAGUCGGUCCUGGAGGACAGAUGUCUAUACCUGAGAUCCGACAAUGUAGUAGAAGGCAACUGUGCUGAUGAAUUACUACAAAACUCCCACCGUGUCGUGGAGGAGUACUUUGUGGCCCCUCCAGGUAACAUCCCUUUGCCAAAGCUGGAUGAACAAGAGCCAUUCCCACACAGCUGAGUAACUCCUUCUGGAAAGGGGGUACUGUGAACACUAAUGUUCCUGCUUUUCUAAGUCACCUAAAAAAAUGGACGCUUAAGCAUUUCUUAAUAACAGGCUCUUCUGAAGACAGAAUUGGGAAAGAUCUAGCCCAAUGAGUUCUAGAGCCCAAAGAUCUGUAACAGUGAGUUCCUGAUGCUAACUGAAAUGAAAGGAAAGCAAAAAGUCAGCUUCCAAGGUAUUCACUAAACAGGCCUGUUCAGUAAGACAGACACGUAAGACAGACACUAUUUAUCUGCCUUUAACCCCAGAAGACUGAAGCAACUGCAUGAAAGUGAACUUUUCUGUCUAUGUAACUGGUAGAUGGAGCAUCUUGAUCACUAUGUGACAACCUUGGCUGUCCCUUUUAGUUGCCACUUGCAUUGAUUUGAGCAGGCCUAUCUUGACCAAACAUACCUGAAUUUGUUCCUGGGCACCCACUUUGUUCCUAGAAAAGGGCUAACUUCCUGCUAAGGUCUGAAGAGUGUUCAAAGUAGACUAGAGCUUGGGAACUCCUAACCUAGAGCUAUCUGCUAUCCCACAAAGUGAUUAUAUGCAAAAGGGACACUAGUCAUACCUAGUGUUUCUCUUUCUGAAAAGAGAACUUGUCCUAAAAUUAGCCCUGGGACAAAGCACCCCCAAAAUGAUUAUUAAAUUGAGAUGAGUCCAAGA
Molecule: RNA transcript, 1122 nt
Organism: Sapajus apella (tufted capuchin)
Lineage: Eukaryota; Metazoa; Chordata; Mammalia; Primates; Cebidae
Gene name: glutamyl-tRNA(Gln) amidotransferase subunit C, mitochondrial pseudogene
Exons: 2
Source: RefSeq, a predicted model, not a curated record